This 931-nucleotide unclassified non-coding RNA is filed under the name Hevea brasiliensis (rubber tree). The record is from RNAcentral. Lineage: Eukaryota; Viridiplantae; Streptophyta; Magnoliopsida; Malpighiales; Euphorbiaceae.
GUUUUCUUGGGAUCUUCAAGAGGCUUAACAAAUAACAAGUAACAGAUUCAAUUAGAUCCUCUCCAAAGAUUCAUGAUGAAAAAACAAAUUUUAUCUGCCAAAUACAAAAAAAAUCACAAAGUAGAAUUCAGUGUUGACAGAUGGACUGAUAAGCAUGCAAAGUAUUGGGCGGGCAAAGAAAAUCAAUAUGCCACAAUCACAUAUACUGUGUAACUCGGCCUGAUUGAUGCAAACAUACCACCAGUUUCAAUAACACUAUGGAUUGUAUUACAAGCACAAAUGGCAAGAAGAAUCACCAUCUACCAAUUUAGUUGCAUAGUUCUGGUAUCCAGUCAAAGCAAAGAGAGGAAGAUGUUCAAAUGAAACUAUAGAAAACAGUACACCAUAGUAGUAAAGAUGCCAACUUUGCUUAAUAUCUUUCUUUUUUACAAACAGUGAAAAAAAAAGGCAUCAAUUGAGAACUUUCAUAAGAAACUUAGCUAAAUUACCAAGUUAGCACAGCAAAGGAAUUACCAUUUUUUAUUCCAGAAUAGCCUAAUAGCAUUCUCAUAGGUAUGCAAUGCAUUAAAAGUGAAUUGUGUACCCAUAUAAACUGUGCAAAAAUAUGAGCAACUGAUUUUGUUCACCGUAAACUGAGAAACUAGGUAAAUUAACUAUAAUUAAUCAAGCUCAGAGAUAUGCCAAACUCCUCCCCCGCCAGACUUCAAUAAUCCAAAAAAUGCCCCGGAGAAUUAACAGUCAAUGCAACAGAAAUUAUAUAUUAAAAGAAAAAAUACAAAAUGCUACAAAAAUCUGCAGAAAAGAAAGUGACAAAUGGUUAGGUUACAUCAUGAGACAUAAGAAACUAAAGAAAGAAUAAAUAACAUCAAAUAUGAUAACUACAACUGCCCUAGGGAAAUCAACAUACCAUGCUCCCAAACCCAAUAUAUAU